This 31-nucleotide non-coding RNA is filed under the name Rattus norvegicus (Norway rat). The record is from RNAcentral. Lineage: Eukaryota; Metazoa; Chordata; Mammalia; Rodentia; Muridae.
AGGAAGUGCUUUCUCAUUGCCUCCCGGUAGC